CAGAGUUCAAACAUAUAAGUUCAAAAGUAGAUUCAAUUACUUCAAGUUCAAGAAGCACGGGUACAAAUAAGAACUCACUCGACUAGCCUAUACCCAGCAAUUCACAUUCUCAAACAGUCGCCGAAUUCAAAUCCACAUAUAGGUCAUAUUACUCAUGUGUAAAAAUCAAAUCAGGUCCAUUACAUGUACGUAAGAGCACACUCGCCAAAACAAGUUCAAGUCCCAAAUGAGCUCAUUUUAGUCUGUCUCAGACAGUUCAAGUAUUGCAAACCCCUUUGAUCGGUCCAAUAACAAGGUUAAAUGUUAGAAUCAUCCACACUUUAACCUUUCCAUCAAAACUCACCUCAAGUGCAAUCAAGAUACAGACCCUUAUUCUAACGCUCUUCACUAUAUGAUACCCAAGUACAAGAAUCCACAAUAAGACAAUUCACAACUCGAGCCGGCCGGUCCCAAGAGUAAAUUACCCAUAUUAGAGAUUCCUACCCAGCAUACAUAUCUAAGGUCCCCAACAAUAGACAAUUGUUCCACACUUAACAAGUCAAUCCCCACAGUCCAAGAACCUUCUCCCGGCACGAGCUCAAAAGGAGCUCUGAUACCAUCUGUGACGACCCCACCUCCCCCUAAGGCGUACCAAAGGGUUCGGCGGACCGCCUGCCCAGCUCUCGCCAGGACUCACUCACUAUCUCUAUCGAAUAAUGUACACACAACCAUGAACCAUAAAUAACAAUCCCAAUUCAAGCUUAUAAUUUACAUUGAUAGAAAUCGAGGUACAAAGUCUCAAUAUACUCAAACUGGUUCAAGGCAUAUACAAUCCAAAUACAAAACAUUCUAUUCGAGGAAUAGCACGAGUACAAGUCAAAAAAUCAAACAACUAGUCUAUGCUAGACUUUACAUAUCUCGCACCUCGCUCGUACCCCUGAAAGGAAAACAAAUGGAGUGGAAUGAGCUAAAAGCCCAGUGAGGUUCCAAAUAGCAAAUUGACCAUUAUUUAGAAGUACAAGUUUUCGGUAUAGCAAAGUAACAAGCAUGAAGAGUUCAUAAAGGUGAGCAAUAACACGUCAAGUAGCAAUCUUAAAAUGAACGAAUGUAGAAAAUUUUUCAAAAGAAACAAUAAUCCAAUAAACAAUAAUUACUCCAAAGUAUAAGGAUACGGAUGACUCUCAGGAGCCAAAUUCCCAUUACAUUACCAGAAGCUUGAUCCCGUAGUAGUUGACACUCCGUCAACUUUCAAGU
RNAcentral lists this long non-coding RNA (1233 nucleotides) under Coffea arabica (coffee). RNAcentral describes it as "long non-coding RNA (CARA_LNC007141)". The record is from RNAcentral. Lineage: Eukaryota; Viridiplantae; Streptophyta; Magnoliopsida; Gentianales; Rubiaceae.